UGAACGAAAACGAGAUUUUCCAGCAAAACCGCCGCAUUCUUACUGUAGGAAUAUUUUAGCUUCUUCUAUACAAUUUUGUGUAUAUAAACAAUAUGACUUAAAUUCUAGAAACGUCUCCUUCGACACACCGAGGUUAUAGUUUCCAAACACAUUGGUACAGCAACCAAACGCAUUGGUACGCAGUGUGCAAAGCAACCGUGUGCAAGGCCCAUUCAUUGUACGUUUACCUGGGAAAAAACGUGAUUUACUUUCCCCUUUACGAAUGAGGACUUCAAAGCUCAGGGCUCGCCCGGCAAAAGUUCUGUGCAUACAACCCUUGAGCAACAGAAAGCGACGACCAACGUUGUGCGAACGAUGUAUUAGUGAAGUGUAUAGUGAUCGACUGGCAUCAUGGGCUGAGCCGUCGUCUGCCCACUCCGCAUUUAAGCGCGUCUUGGUUUGCCGGUCGUAAAAAAAUCCUACUGAUACUAUUCUGCUGUGGUAGUUCUGUUCGAAGAACGGCACACGAAGAAGACGACCGAAACUGUAACAUCAGAGGUGGGCAACUACGGGGAAGGCUGGUAACGUACCGACUAGACCGACAAGCACACGUACUCAAGGACAUCCUCACGGACACGCGAAGGCCAAAGUACACUGGCACAGGGGCAAACACCAUCAAACUAGAAGCCAGCCGAGUGCGUUCGAGGCAAAACGCAAAAUACGGUUCCUCAUGUACUUCCUCUGUUCUAUUCCCAUUUGCUAGUACAAGGCUAUUGCAUUUUUUCAAAUAAAUUCAAUUCCCCAAGCCCCAAAGUAAACUCUAGAUUACGGAUGCGUAAAAAAAAUAUAGCUACAUGUUCUUUAUGUAAUCUCAUGAAAAUCCAAAAACAUACAAGUAAAUACUUAUGCAUUAGGAAUUCGACUUAGUUGAUGCCAACGACGCUGAAAACCGGGUGCCUAAAUCCCUAGCGAUUGAAAAGUGCGUAACUUUUGCUGAAAGGAAUCCAGCUGGUUUAAUUAAAUUAGCUGAAUGUCCUUCAGUUCAUAAGGUGCCAUACUGCGCGUGACACACCGUACGUGUGAGUCGAUAAUGCGGGGAUAAAACACUAAGUUACUGAGACAAUUUUACAAAGUUUUGUAUAGACGAAAUCAGUUUA
This is a long non-coding RNA of Varroa destructor (honeybee mite), 1136 nucleotides long. RefSeq lists it as uncharacterized. The record is from RefSeq and is a predicted model, not a curated record. NCBI's taxonomy places the organism in Eukaryota, Metazoa, Arthropoda, Arachnida, Mesostigmata, Varroidae.